This 320-nucleotide ribosomal RNA is filed under the name uncultured bacterium. RNAcentral's name for it is "bacterial SSU rRNA". It matches the Rfam family "Bacterial small subunit ribosomal RNA", at positions 193 to 507 of the family's 1533-position model. The record is from RNAcentral.
CGGGGGACCGAAAGGCCUCGCGCUAUUGGAGCGGCCGAUGUCAGAUUAGGUAGUUGGUGGGGUAAAGGCCUACCAAGCCUGCGAUCUGUAGCUGGUCUGAGAGGACGACCAGCCACACUGGGACUGAGACACGGCCCAGACUCCUACGGGAGGCAGCAGUGGGGAAUUUUUGGACAAUGGGCGCAAGCCUGAUCCAGCCAUGCCGCGUGCGGGAAGAAGGCCUUCGGGUUGUAAACCGCUUUUGUCGGGGAAGAAACGCUCUGGGCUAAUACCCUGGGGUAAUGACGGUACCCGAAGAAUAAGCACCGGCUAACUACGUG